AGAGUUUGAUCAUGGCUCAGAACGAACGCUGGCGGCAGGCCUAACACAUGCAAGUCGAGCGCCCGCAAGGGAGCGGCAGACGGGUGAGUAACGCGUGGGAACGUGCCCUUUGGUUCGGAAUAUUCCCGGGAAACUGGGAGCAAAACCGGAUAAGCCCUUCGGGGGAAAGUUUACGCCAAAGGAUCGGCCCGCGUUAGAUUAGGUAGUUGGUGGGGUAACGGCCUACCAAGCCUACGAUCUAUAGCUGAUCUGAGAGGAUGAUCAGCCACACUGGGACUGAGACACGGCCCAGACUCCUACGGGAGGCAGCAGUGGGGAAUCUUGGACAAUGGGCGCAAGCCUGAUCCAGCCAUGCCGCGUGGAUGACUGAAGGCCCUAGGGUUGUAAAGUCCUUUCGACGGGGACGAUAAUGACGGUACCCGUAGAAGAAGCCCCGGCUAACUUCGUGCCAGCAGCCGCGGUAAUACGAAGGGGGCUAGCGUUGUUCGGAUUUACUGGGCGUAAAGGGCGCGUAGGCGGAUUUUUAAGUCGGGGGUGAAAUCCCGGAGCUCAACUCCGGAACUGCCUUCGAUACUGAAAGUCUGGAGCACGGUAGAGGUGAGUGGAAUUCCGAGUGUAGAGGUGAAAUUCGUAGAUAUUCGGAGGAACACCAGUGGCGAAGGCGGCUCACUGGACCGUUGCUGACGCUGAGGCGCGAAAGCGUGGGGAGCAAACAGGAUUAGAUACCCCGGUAGUCC
RNAcentral lists this ribosomal RNA (737 nucleotides) under uncultured bacterium. RNAcentral describes it as "bacterial SSU rRNA". It matches the Rfam family "Bacterial small subunit ribosomal RNA", at positions 8 to 796 of the family's 1533-position model. The record is from RNAcentral.